CCUACGGGAGGCAGCAGUGGGGAAUAUUGCACAAUGGGGGAAACCCUGAUGCAGCGACGCCGCGUGAAUGAAGAAGUAUUUCGGUAUGUAAACUUCUAUCAGCAGGGAAGAAAAUGACUGUACCUGACUAAGAAGCACAGGAUAACUACGUGCCAGCAGCCGCGGUAAUACGUAGGGGGCAAGCGUUCUCCGGCGUUACUGGGUGUCAAGGGAGAGUAGGCGGCGAUGAAAGUCAGAAGUGAAAGCCAGGGGCUCAACUCCGGGACUGCUUUGGAAACGGGGUUGUUGGAUUGCAGGAGAGGGAAGUGGAAGUCCUAGUGUAGCGGGGAAAUGCGUAGAUAUUAGGAGGAACACCAGUGGCGAAGGCGGCUUACUGGACUGUAAAUGACGCGGAGGCUCGAAAGCGUGGGGAGCAAACAGGAUUAGAGACCCGUGUAGUC
Molecule: ribosomal RNA, 440 nt
Filed under: uncultured bacterium
Lineage: Bacteria
Description: partial 16S ribosomal RNA
Rfam family: Bacterial small subunit ribosomal RNA
Source: RNAcentral